This 28-nucleotide non-coding RNA is filed under the name Mus musculus (house mouse). Lineage: Eukaryota; Metazoa; Chordata; Mammalia; Rodentia; Muridae. The record is from RNAcentral.
UGGGAUUAAAGGCGUGCGCCACCAAUGC